AAACCAUGGUGCGGACAUUUGGUUAAAAGGUCUUUGAACCUCUCAUGGGCCUCAAAGAGUGUUUCUAAAUCACCUUGUUUGAAAGAAGAAAUUUCUUGUCUUAACCU
Dioscorea cayenensis subsp. rotundata (Guinea yam) is the source of this 107-nucleotide small nucleolar RNA. The record is from RefSeq and is a predicted model, not a curated record. NCBI's taxonomy places the organism in Eukaryota, Viridiplantae, Streptophyta, Magnoliopsida, Dioscoreales, Dioscoreaceae.